Molecule: ribosomal RNA, 406 nt
Filed under: uncultured bacterium
Lineage: Bacteria
Description: partial 16S ribosomal RNA
Rfam family: Bacterial small subunit ribosomal RNA
Source: RNAcentral
AUUGAACGCUGGCGGCAGGCCUAACACAUGCAAGUCGAACGCUUGGCGGACGUUUGAGUUAUUUCUGGGAAACUCCCUGAUGUCUGGGGAUAUCUACUGGAAACUGUAUCUAAUCCCUCAUACCAUUAUAUGUGCCCAGAUGGUAUUAGCUUGUUGGUGGGGUAACGGCUCACGAAGGCGACGUUCCCUAUCUGGUCUGAGAGGAUGACCAGCCACAAUGGAACUGAGACACGGUCCAGACGCCUACGGGAGGCAGCAGUGGGGAAUAUUGCACAAUGGGCGCAAGCCUGAUGCAGCCAUGCCGCGUGUAUGAAGAAGGCCUUCGGGUUGUAAAGUACUUUCAGCGGGAAGGCGGGACCCGAAGAAGAAGCACCGGCUAACUCCGUGCCAGCAGCCGCGGUAAUAG